Molecule: long non-coding RNA, 317 nt
Organism: Eptesicus fuscus (big brown bat)
Lineage: Eukaryota; Metazoa; Chordata; Mammalia; Chiroptera; Vespertilionidae
Exons: 3
Source: RefSeq, a predicted model, not a curated record
GAGAAGAGAACGAGGGGACCCAUUGUCUUAUACUGGACAAGAACAGUGCCUUUCUAGAAGAGAUUUCUUUGCUGGGGAACAGCUCAUUAAAUCUGCAUUUAUUUCUAUCUGACAGCAUCCAAAAGAGUGCCUGUGUGUUUCAUUGACUUCAGCUCACCAGGCUAUGAGAUUCAUCCUAGCGUUUGCUGCUAUCCCUGGGACCUCACUUAGAAUGGGGAAAAUACUGUCCCUCAAAGGGCUUUCAAAGCAAGCUCCUACCUCACGUUGAGAGAGAAUGGUGCAGAAACUGAAGCCCAAAGAUGAGGGCCCCAUGGUCC